Non-coding RNA from Paramuricea clavata, 753 nucleotides. The record is from the annotation of a GenBank genome assembly. NCBI's taxonomy places the organism in Eukaryota, Metazoa, Cnidaria, Anthozoa, Malacalcyonacea, Plexauridae.
AGACUAUAUACCUUGCCAUGUUUUACUUUGCUGUUCCUUGCAAUUACCACCUUACUUUAUGUAUGUUACCCUCUCAGGGCUCCAGUGGUGUAACGUAACUAUUUUUACCACUUGCGAUUCGGGCAAGUUAGACAUGAAAAUUGGUUGCCAGAAGUAAAAUUCACUUGUCAUCAGGUCUAGUUUUGCUCUCACAUACUGUAGUAGCAAUAUUUGAAGCAAAUGAUUGCAGUAAGGAUUAAUUAUAAUCACCAUUCUAAUCUUAUGUUUUCCUUUGCAAAGUCAUUUGAAGACUUAAUUACGAAGUGUUGAUUUCAGCUGAUGUACUAACAAAGAAUCAAGAACAGAAUGCAUAACAUAAACAAGCAAACCGUUUGGCAAACCGUUUAGCAAUAGAACUUGCCCGAUCGGGCAACCAAGAAGCAUCUCCUACUUGCCCUUAGUGAUUUUUACUUGCCCCAGUCAAGCGUUAUCACUGGGCUCGUUAAUUCUAUUCAGUGCCUGCACGAAAAAUUCAUAACUUCACGAUGUGCCUGCAAAAAUGCAUUGUAUUUUAGGUUUAUAGAGCUAAAUACAGUUGAACCUGUAUUUAGGGGGUCACCCUUGGGAUUUCGCAAGUGACCGCUUAAUACAGGGUGACCGCUCAGUGCAGGUCCAAGUACCACGGUUCAAAAGGGUGUUAUCGAGUCCUAAUAAAAACAAGAGAACUGAACAUGACGAACAAUACAAAACGACAUAACCUUGCUAAGUUUAGCU